This is a non-coding RNA of Coffea arabica (coffee), 372 nucleotides long. NCBI's taxonomy places the organism in Eukaryota, Viridiplantae, Streptophyta, Magnoliopsida, Gentianales, Rubiaceae. The record is from RefSeq and is a predicted model, not a curated record.
AGCUCUACAAUCUCCAUUGCCCUUUCUCGUUCUUCUCUUGGCCUUCUCUACCAGUUUUUUUCACUCAUCAUCUUCCUAUUUAAUUGUUCCCUUCAACGCGUCUUCCUCCAUAAUCUUAUCUAGAAAUCUACAGAAGAAUCCCUCUCAAUUUUUCCUGCACGCACAACAAAAAGAAAGUGGAGAAGAGGGCGAUGAAGGAGGAGAGCUCCUUCCAUCGGCAUUAGAGGGAGAUUUACAGUUGCAUGGGACAUUGGAAACCACAAGGCUUCGAUUGGAGUUCAAAGAUAAAUAGGCAUAUUGAGCCAGUCCUAAAAAUCAGAGGUGGCGUUGGAUGCCGAAGAGUGCCGCUGGAGUGGAGGAGACAACAUGUUC